CCUACGAGAGGCAGCAGUGAGGAAUAUUGGUCAAUGGACGCAAGUCUGAACCAGCCAUGCCGCGUGCAGGAAGACGGCUCUAUGAGUUGUAAACUGCUUUUGUACGAGGGUAAACGCAGAUACGCGUAUCUGUCUGAAAGUAUCGUACGAAUAAGGAUCGGCUAACUCCGUGCCAGCAGCCGCGGUAAUACGGAGGAUUCAAGCGUUAUCCGGAGUUAUUGGGUUUAAAGGGUGCGUAGGCGGUCGGAUAAGUUAGAGGUGAAAUCCCGAGGCUCAACUUCGGAAUUGCCUCUGAUACUGUUCGGCUAGAGAGUAGUUGCGGUAGGCGGAAUGUAUGGUGUAGCGGUGAAAUGCUUAGAGAUCAUACAGAACACCGUUUGCGAAGGCAGCUUACCAAGCUACUUCUGACGUUGAGGCGCGAAAGCGUGGGGAGCAAACAGGAUUAGAUACCCUAGUAGUC
This 460-nucleotide ribosomal RNA is filed under the name uncultured bacterium. Its description in RNAcentral is "partial 16S ribosomal RNA". It matches the Rfam family "Bacterial small subunit ribosomal RNA", at positions 338 to 795 of the family's 1533-position model. The record is from RNAcentral.